GAUGAACGCUGGCGGCGUGCCUAAUACAUGCAAGUAGAACGCUGAAGGAAGGAGCUUGCUCUUUCCGGAUGAGUUGCGCACGGGUGAGUAACGCGUAGGUAACCUGCCUGGUAGCGGGGGAUAACUAUUGGAAACGAUAGCUAAUACCGCAUAACAGUAGAUGUUGCAUGAUAUCUACUUAAAAGGUGCAAUUGCACCACUACCAGAUGGACCUGCGUUGUAUUAGCUAGUUGGUGAGGUAACGGCUCACCAAGGCGACGAUACAUAGCCGACCUGAGAGGGUGAUCGGCCACACUGGGACGGAGACACGGCCCAGACUCCUACGGGAGGCAGCAGUAGGGAAUCUUCGGCAAUGGACGGAAGUCUGACCGAGCAACGCCGCGUGAGUGAAGAAGGUUGUCGGAUCGUAAAGCUCUGUUGUAAGAGAAGAACGAGUGUGAGAGUGGAAAGUUCACACUGUGACGGUAUCUUACCAGAAAGGGACGGCUAACUACGUG
This 497-nucleotide ribosomal RNA is filed under the name uncultured bacterium. RNAcentral describes it as "partial 16S ribosomal RNA". It matches the Rfam family "Bacterial small subunit ribosomal RNA", at positions 28 to 507 of the family's 1533-position model. The record is from RNAcentral.